Ovis aries (sheep) is the source of this 73-nucleotide transfer RNA. It matches the Rfam family "tRNA". Rfam says of the family: Transfer RNA (tRNA) molecules are approximately 80 nucleotides in length. Their secondary structure includes four short double-helical elements and three loops (D, anti-codon, and T loops). Further hydrogen bonds mediate the characteristic L-shaped molecular structure. tRNAs have two regions of fundamental functional importance: the anti-codon, which is responsible for specific mRNA codon recognition, and the 3' end, to which the tRNAs corresponding amino acid is attached (by aminoacyl-tRNA synthetases). tRNAs cope with the degeneracy of the genetic code in two manners: having more than one tRNA (with a specific anti-codon) for a particular amino acid; and 'wobble' base-pairing, i.e. permitting non-standard base-pairing at the 3rd anti-codon position. NCBI's taxonomy places the organism in Eukaryota, Metazoa, Chordata, Mammalia, Artiodactyla, Bovidae. The record is from Rfam.
UCCCUGGCGAUCCAGUGGUCAGGGCUCAGCACUUUCACUGCUGAGGGCCCUGGUUCAGUUCCUGGUUGGGGAA